This 253-nucleotide ribosomal RNA is filed under the name uncultured bacterium. RNAcentral's name for it is "partial 16S ribosomal RNA". It matches the Rfam family "Bacterial small subunit ribosomal RNA", at positions 524 to 776 of the family's 1533-position model. The record is from RNAcentral.
UACAGAGGUCUCGAGCGUUAGGCGGAAUCACUGGGCUUAAAGCGUGUGUAGGCGGAUCCGUAAGUACCUUGUGAAAUCCCACGGCUCAACCGUGGAACUGCUUGGUAUACUGCGGGUCUUGAGCCACCUAGGGGCAAGUGGAACGAACGGUGGAGCGGUGAAAUGCGUAGAUAUCGUUUGGAACGCCAAUGGUGAAAACAACUUGCUGGGGGUGUGCUGACGCUGAGACACGAAAGCCAGGGGAGCAAACGGG